RNAcentral lists this small RNA (183 nucleotides) under Arabidopsis thaliana (thale cress). RNAcentral's name for it is "ATSL034860". The record is from RNAcentral. Lineage: Eukaryota; Viridiplantae; Streptophyta; Magnoliopsida; Brassicales; Brassicaceae.
AGGCAAUUGCAUUAGAUUGUGACACAUUUUGACAAUAAAAACACUAAUAAAACUGUUUACUGCUUGUAAGCAAUUUUUUGUUGGUUUUAGCCUCUUCUGAGAGAAAAUGGGUAUAAGUAUUGUUUAAACACUCUUAGUCUAUCUCUAACUCUUAUAAUUAGUCAAAUGCAUUAGAUUGUGACA